GACGAACGCUGGCGGCGUGCUUAACACAUGCAAGUCGAACGGAAAGGCCCUGCUUUUGUGGGGUGCUCGAGUGGCGAACGGGUGAGUAACACGUGAGUAACCUGCCCUUGACUUUGGGAUAACUUCAGGAAACUGGGGCUAAUACCGGAUAGGAGCUCCUGCUGCAUGGUGGGGGUUGGAAAGUUUCGGCGGUUGGGGAUGGACUCGCGGCUUAUCAGCUUGUUGGUGGGGUAGUGGAUUACCAAGGCUUUGACGGGUAGCCGGGCUGAGAGGGUGACCGGACACAUUGGGACGGAGAUACGGCCCAGACUACUACGGGAGGCAGCAGUGGGGAAUAGUGCACAAUGGGCGGAAGCCUGAUGCAGCAACGCCGCGUGCGGGAUGACGGCCUUCGGGUUGUAAACCGCUUUCGCCUGUGACGAAGCGUGAGUGACGGUAAUGGGUAAAGAAGCACCGGCUAACUACGUG
This 468-nucleotide ribosomal RNA is filed under the name uncultured bacterium. RNAcentral's name for it is "partial 16S ribosomal RNA". It matches the Rfam family "Bacterial small subunit ribosomal RNA", at positions 28 to 507 of the family's 1533-position model. The record is from RNAcentral.